UGAAAAAGAGGCUUCAGACACGUCAGGCUAAUCGAAAGUCAUCAGUCAGUGUUACAUCGUUUAUUUUGCGAAUUCAUCAGACAAGGUAGCGGUAUUGUAACAACCAAAUAAGUGCAAGAAAUAGCGGAGACAUUGGUGAACUAAACAGCCAGAAAUAAUGGCGUCAAAUGACUUAGGAGACUGGUAUAGGGGUAUCCCCCAAAUGACUCGGUACUGGUUCACUGGCUCAGUUGUUCUUCCUUUGCUGGGAAGAUUCGGUGUUUUCUCGCCUAUGACGAUGAUCUUGGAUUAUUAUGCCGUAUUUCAUCAUUUUCACAUUUGGAGGCCAGUGACGGCACUGUUUUACUUCCCUCUUUCACCCGCCACAGGAUUCCAAUAUCUCAUUUUACUCUACUUCUUAUAUUCCUAUUCCACAAGACUUGAAACAGGUCUAUUUGAUGGAAAACCUGCAGAUUAUUUAUUCCUGUUAGUUUUCAACUGGCUGUGCCUGGUGCUGAUUGGUUUUAUAAUUGGAUUACCAUUACUAAUGGACCCCAUGGUGAUGAGUGUGCUCUACAUCUGGUGUCAACUGAACAGAGAUCAGAUUGUAUCCUUCUGGUUUGGGACACAAUUCAAGGCUAUGUACUUGCCGUGGGUGCUACUGGCAUUUAACAUGAUAAUUCGUGGAGGAGGUGUUCAGGACAUCAUAGGCAUCAUAGUGGGCCACCUGUACUUCUUCCUGAUGUUCAAAUAUCCACAAGACUUUGGUGGCAGAAGAUUUUUAAGCACACCAGAAAUAUUCUAUAAAUGGUUUCCUAACCGCAGAGGGGGUGUGGCAGGAUUUGGAAUGGCCCCAGAAAGUCGGCGGAGAGAUGAUGGCGGAGCAGGAGGGGGUCGCCCCUGGGGGAGAGGUCAGCAAUUAGGGGGAAACUGAGGCCAGACGUGAAAUAUACACCUUUGUUUUUGAUAUAUUGAAGAGACAGACUGAAAAAUUAUCUCCUUUCUAUUGUGAAGUGAAGUUUGCUGACAAAAAACAAAGACCAAAGAUUAGAAUAUAAGGAACUGGCAACAGCAUCAACAGAAACAUUAAAUCUCAAACAUAAAGGAUGUCAGGAAGCAGAUUUCUUUCCUAACAUUUUGUUUCAAUAUCUUUCCAAAAGGCAGCAGAACUGUGCAUUUGUGCUGCAUAUGAUAUUUUACCCAUAAUGGAUAAUAAUUUGCUGCAAUUACUGCAGCUGCUGUCAUUAUUAUUGGAUGACCACAACCUGCUUGGAUAAAUAUCUGAACAUAAAUCAAAAUCACCAUUUCAUUGUGUGAUAAAAUAGAAGAUGUGGUAACAUCAGCAGGAAAAAAAACCUGCUUUCAUUACUACCAUGCCUAACCCCAAGAACGAAGUACAGUAUCACAUAAAAUAAAGUAAAAUUUCAGUAACAUUUUUUAAUAAUGAAGUAUUGAAAAGACUGCAAGUAAAUUUUAAGAUAUACAAGUGAGCAGUUGACCAACGACACAAAUUAUAUUUAUAUAUGCACUGAAGUGUUUUGUGUCAGUGCUAGACUUCCUUAGGGAAAUAAUUUAAUUUCCUUAAGUUUUGUGGAGUAUGAUUUGCCACACAUUGCUAACGCUGAAUGAUAAAUUUUGUGUGGCAUUGGCGUUAUUGUGGUAUUGUCAAAACUUUGUCUUUGCAUCCCAUUUUAUAAAAUGUUGCAACAGAUAUAGAUUAUUGAUCGAAUUUUUUAAAACUCAAUUAAAUUAGUCUAAUUCAAAUUCUGCCCUGCAUAUUUUUUGUUGAUUUAUGAAGCACUGACAGGCCUAAGCGCAAUUACAGUGUUCUGAAAGUUUUCUAGUUAUUUUCAUCUGCAUGUUGGAAACCUAAAACACUGGAUAAAGAUGACAACACUACGUUCAUUUUGCAUGUACAGACACAGAUGUGUCUGUACAUAUAGCCGUCACCUGCGCCUGUCAUCACUGUCGCCGUCGCUGUGCACUCGGCGAUAACACGAUAAGUGGAAUAUUUUACCGUUUUAUGACACAGAUGGGUUUGUCAAGGUUCUAGGAGACAAGGAGACAGAUAGGUUAUUGGGAUGUCAUAUAAUUGCUUCUGUUGCUGGUGAAUUAAUCAAUGAAGCAGUGUUAGCUAUGGAGUAUGGAGCGUCUUGUGAAGAUGUUGCUAGGGUCUGUCACGCUCACCCUACGGUUGCUGAAGCAUUACGAGAGGCCAACCUAGCAGCUUACUGUGGGAAACCUAUCAACUUUUAAACAUACUUGGAAUGUACUUUUAACCUCCAGUGAAUGCUGCAGUGACUUUAUAUAAGAGAUUGAAACAGCAUAAUGUGGGAGUUGUCAAAAAAAGUUUGGGAUUCGGUGUAGCUUUGAGAUGUGUGGAAGAUUUGACACAGUUGAAUAGUGAUGUGGGAUUACUUAUAGUCUGUCACUGCCUCAAUAAUAUAUGUUAAGAUGCAAGGCAAAAGCAACACAAGAAGACAGUACUGUGGAAACACAUUAAGACUGGCUUUGUCUGAUAAGCUCAAAUAGUGUACAUGUUUAACACAAAGAUCCAGAAUUGUGACAUUCUUUCCCGUUUCUAAUAAAUGUUUAAAAAGGUGGAACAUUCAAAUAACUUGCAUAAGAAAAUGUUAAUCUCCCUGUUCAUCAGCUUUAUAUCUCAAGUUCUGCUAGUUCAAGUUCUUUGCAUGAUCAAACUGAUCAGAGCGUCAGUUAUUGGUUUCUGUAAUGGUAUUAGUUCACUAAAAGAAUGUGAAAUACACUCCUUAAGAGUUAUAACACACUGCUAAUGUAUUUAUAUGUAUUUCUUUUCUGGAUU
RNAcentral lists this unclassified non-coding RNA (2800 nucleotides) under Lingula anatina. Its description in RNAcentral is "derlin-1, transcript variant X1". Lineage: Eukaryota; Metazoa; Brachiopoda; Lingulata; Lingulida; Lingulidae. The record is from RNAcentral.